AGUGAACGCUGGCGGUAGGCCUAACACAUGCAAGUCGAACGGCAGCACAGUAAGAGCUUGCUCUUACGGGUGGCGAGUGGCGGACGGGUGAGGAAUACAUCGGAAUCUACUUUUUCGUGGGGGAUAACGUAGGGAAACUUACGCUAAUACCGCAUACGACCUACGGGUGAAAGCAGGAGAUCUUCGGACCUUGCGCGAUUGAAUGAGCCGGUGUCGGAUUAGCUAGUUGGCGGGGUAAAGGCACACCAAGGCGACGAUCCGUAGCUGGUCUGAGAGGAUGAUCAGCCACACUGGAACUGAGACACGGUCCAGACUCCUACGGGAGGCAGCAGUGGGGAAUAUUGGACAAUGGGCGCAAGCCUGAUCCAGCCAUACCGCGUGAGUGAAGAAGGCCUUCGGGUUGUAAAGCCCUUUUGUUGGGAAAGAAAAGCAGCAGGUUAAUACCCCGCUGUUCUGACGGUACCCAAAGAAUAAGCACCGGCUAACUUCGUG
RNAcentral lists this ribosomal RNA (492 nucleotides) under uncultured bacterium. Its description in RNAcentral is "partial 16S ribosomal RNA". It matches the Rfam family "Bacterial small subunit ribosomal RNA", at positions 29 to 507 of the family's 1533-position model. The record is from RNAcentral.